This 84-nucleotide transfer RNA is filed under the name Pseudoxanthomonas taiwanensis J19. Its description in RNAcentral is "tRNA-Leu". It matches the Rfam family "tRNA". From Rfam's summary of the family: Transfer RNA (tRNA) molecules are approximately 80 nucleotides in length. Their secondary structure includes four short double-helical elements and three loops (D, anti-codon, and T loops). Lineage: Bacteria; Pseudomonadati; Pseudomonadota; Gammaproteobacteria; Lysobacterales; Lysobacteraceae. The record is from RNAcentral.
GCCCGGGUGGUGAAACAGGUAGACACAGGAGACUUAAAAUCUUCCGGCCGCGAGGCCUUGCGGGUUCGAGUCCCGCCCCGGGCA